Molecule: non-coding RNA, 21 nt
Filed under: Caenorhabditis elegans
Lineage: Eukaryota; Metazoa; Nematoda; Chromadorea; Rhabditida; Rhabditidae
Source: RNAcentral
UUCAUCGUGGAACCGUUCCCA